AGAGCGGUUACAUGUAAGAUCAUAUGAUUUAAAAUUUAAAUAACCUUAGCCUUUUAAUCAAAGGUUUACCAAUAAUUAUUAUUGGUUUUAGAACCACGCACUUUGACUGCUGAGGAAGACUGACCUCAACCUAGUUUCUUUUUACUUAGAUCAAGGCCAAUCUUAGUCCCGGAAGCAUCUUUACUUCCAUCUUUGCUGCUUCGUGGGGCUUCAACACCAAAGGCAAGAUGUUAAUAACCAGAACUCAAAUUAAGGUUAAUUUACUCUUACUACCUGUUGCGGGAUGUACCAUGCUAGCUGCAACACCAAAGGCA
RNAcentral lists this long non-coding RNA (314 nucleotides) under Brassica rapa (field mustard). Its description in RNAcentral is "long non-coding RNA (BRAP_LNC007401)". The record is from RNAcentral. Lineage: Eukaryota; Viridiplantae; Streptophyta; Magnoliopsida; Brassicales; Brassicaceae.